UACGUAGGGACCAAGCGUUGUUCGGAUUUACUGGGCGUAAAGGGCGCGUAGGCGGCAAUUCAAGUCAGCUGUGAAAUCUCCGGGCUUAACUCGGAACGGUCAGCUGAUACUGCUUUGCUAGAGUGCAGAAGGGGCAAUCGGAAUUCUUGGUGUAGCGGUGAAAUGCGUAGAUAUCAAGAGGAACACCUGAGGUGAAGACGGGUUGCUGGAACGGUACUGACGCUGAGGCGCGAAAGCGUGGGGAGCAAACAGG
RNAcentral lists this ribosomal RNA (253 nucleotides) under uncultured bacterium. RNAcentral's name for it is "partial 16S ribosomal RNA". It matches the Rfam family "Bacterial small subunit ribosomal RNA", at positions 524 to 776 of the family's 1533-position model. The record is from RNAcentral.